GACCGCUAUGGCGAGCCCCGCCCACAGUGCGCAGCCACCAGCCAGGCUCCGGGAAACUCUGGGGGACUUGGGCCCUCAGUGGGGGAAACCUAGAAGCCCACGGCAAUGGGCGGGGCAGGACAUCUGGGGCGAGCAGGGGCUUACAUGCUACCUGGAAGCAAUCUGUGAACGUACAUUGGAUGAAGUUAGGGAAUGAAUGAUGGCCUUAGUGGUUCAUGGAGAUGGGGGCACAGUGAGUGGGCUAGGAGAAAGGGAAGCCGUGGAAACCUGCAAGCAGAAGGUUUAAAUCCCAGCCCUACUGGGGCCACCCCCAGGCGUGAAAUCAUCUCUCUUCUCUCUGGAUGCUGGAGUUAAGGCUUCCCAUUCCUUACCUGGGGUUUGGAACAUGCCCAGAGGAUUUCAGAGCUGGAAGAGGCCUCAUGUUCUGGAAAAGACGUGUGUGGUCCAAGCUCUCCUGCCUACGACAGCAGUCAGAGAGGGAAAGACUGCCCCGGAAUGGAUUUAGGAACCCAGGACUCUUGACAAAGACUGCUAAUUCAGCAGCUGGCAGCUGCCUGGUUCCUCCCUCUGCGGUUCCACAGUUUCUCCAGGGAGGAUUGAGGGAGUCCUGGGUGCCUCCCUAUGGGAUGGUGGCGCCCUCUGCUGGUCAUGAGUCUUGUGGUGGAACUAUCUCCAGACUCAAGGCCGGCUGGUGCCCGGCGCCACCUGGAAACCUUGCCAUAUUUUGGGAUGCCAUAAAGCAUUUGUUCCUCCCAGGAGGAUCUGUAGUGAGCUGGUCACUGAGUUCACACUGAGGAAGUUGUGAGGAGGGAGAUGCUGCCGGUGAAAUGCACUCCACAGCACGGCUCCAGAGCUCAGCCUUCUCUGCCCCACCUCCUCUUAUGCCACGCCCCUUGCCUAGCAUCUGUUCUCCUCCUCCAAUAAGCCUUCCCCAGGCCUCUUGCCUCUCCAGAAUGUCCCUUACCUCCUCAUGCCUCUUAGCAAAUCCCCUGUGGAUCUGCUCCUGAGAAAUCUAUACUUCGUCUGCAACUUAUGUCGAAGCAGGUGUCUUGUUCCCAGGGAGUUCAUGUUUCCCAGUUCUUUGGCUCCAGCUGCCCCGGCUGAGAUAGGGUUUAAGGGCGGGGGGGGGGGAGUAGGGGACCUGGGUAGCAUGGGAUUAGUAGGGGCUGUCUAACAGACAAAGCCCCUUCUCACUUCCACAAUUACCAGUGAGGAACUGGAGGAUGUGACUCCUGUGACCCCACGGACCUGCUUAAGCUCUGGGGAACCCUCGGGAAGUUGGAUCACUAGAGCUGUGAAAGUUCAGACCCCGUAGAGUCCCAGUGAGUCAGUUACUUCAAGGCACAGAACUGGCAAGGAUGAAUAAAUAGCUCUACGG
Molecule: long non-coding RNA, 1378 nt
Filed under: Mus pahari (shrew mouse)
Lineage: Eukaryota; Metazoa; Chordata; Mammalia; Rodentia; Muridae
Description: lncRNA (MGP_PahariEiJ_G0004829.1)
Source: RNAcentral